GCGGCUUUAGCUCAAUUGGGAGAGCGUAAGUCGCAUUGCACUGACGGCUCAUAAUAUUGUGUACUAAUUGUCUCUCAGGCCAGACUGAAGAAAACUUCGGAAUUUGAAAUCUGGAGGCACUGUGUUCGAUCCACAGAAGCCGCA
Molecule: non-coding RNA, 144 nt
Organism: Phialocephala subalpina
Lineage: Eukaryota; Fungi; Ascomycota; Leotiomycetes; Helotiales; Mollisiaceae
Source: the annotation of a GenBank genome assembly